AUUGUACUGAUGAGGAAGCUGACGUUAAGAGCAGUAAAUUGCCUGCUUCAAACAGCUUAUAAAUGGCAGAGCAAGGAUCUAAGAAAUCAAGGGGAUUUUAAAAUUCUACCCCUUAACUCUAAUUCAUAGUUGAGUCAUGAGGAGGCUGAAUAAUUGCAUACUCUACACUUAUCCUCAUUCUGCUUUUAAUUUAUGUAAGUGUUUACUGACCUUGCUUUAAGCUUCCUGAAACCAGACGGCACAACUUAGAGGGAAGAAAUCUCAGAAUGAAUAUAGGGCUCUUCUUGUAGUCUGGCCAAUGGAUCUGCUGGGUAAGUGGCAGAAUCCCUCACUUACUUAGUAGAUAAAGCUCUCCAUGAGGACAUACUGAAAGCCCCUAGCUAGUCCCUAGAGGAGAAUCUCUCAGCUGAUGACACCCAGGAAUCAUCUCACCAAUGAGACCCUUUAAGACUUAGAAGCUCCUUACCAGCGGAACAUCCUGCAGGUGUGACCCAGCAGGAGGGAACUCACUCUACUGAGAAGCAUUUUCAUCCUAGAUUCUAUCCAGUUACUUAUGAAGACUGAAAUCCAGAUAAUAAGACUUGGUGUGCCCCAGCAGUAAAGCCCUGCAGUGACGUGCUCAAGGCAAAAGUGAACGGCACUGAGUAAGCUGAGAGGUCUCUGGCCUCCACUGCACUGGAGAGGAUCCCGGAGGAUGGGUGAGAGAGGAUCUAUGUAGAGGCAUCAGGAAUCACUGACCUCUCACACGCGUUUUAGAGGACGUCCACCUUGCAGGUCCUUCUAGUUGUGGGAUGCGGGAUGCUGCCUCAACGUGGCCUGACGAGCGGUGCCACGUCCAUGCCCAGGAUCCGAACCCUGGGCCACCACAGAGGAGUGCGGGAACUUAACCACUCCGCCACGUAGCCAGCCCCUGUCCUUCAUUUUGAUUUCAAGAUUAAAUAUUAAUAUGAUAUUGUUUAUCUUCAAAGUCUGUCAUACUGGUGACAUAACAGAUACACGUCUCUCUUACUAGUUAAUAAGUUCUUUGACAACAAAGACUCUGCCAUCUUUCCUAGUAGCCCCACACUAAACACAAUAAUUAGUGCAAAGUCAGAUUUGCAUGUUAGGUGUAUUAAUGAAUGAAUGAAAGAUUAAAU
Molecule: long non-coding RNA, 1136 nt
Filed under: Equus caballus (horse)
Lineage: Eukaryota; Metazoa; Chordata; Mammalia; Perissodactyla; Equidae
Description: lncRNA (ENSECAG00000050836.1)
Source: RNAcentral